RNAcentral lists this ribosomal RNA (485 nucleotides) under uncultured bacterium. RNAcentral's name for it is "partial 16S ribosomal RNA". It matches the Rfam family "Bacterial small subunit ribosomal RNA", at positions 28 to 507 of the family's 1533-position model. The record is from RNAcentral.
AUUGAACGCUGGCGGCAUGCCUUACACAUGCAAGUCGAACGGCAGCGGGCCCUUCGGGGUGCCGGCGAGUGGCGAACGGGUGAGUAAUGCAUCGGAACGUACCCGGGAGAGGGGGAUAACCGGCCGAAAGGCUGGCUAAUACCGCAUGAACUCGGAAGAGCAAAGCGGGGGACCUUCGGGCCUCGCGCUCUCGGAUGGGCCGAGGUCCGAUUAGGCUAGUUGGUGGGGUAAAGGCCCACCAAGGCGACGAUCGGUAGCGGGUCUGAGAGGAGGAUCCGCCACACUGGAACUGAGACACGGCCCAGACUCCUACGGGAGGCAGCAGUGGGGAAUCUUGGACAAUGGGCGCAAGCCUGAUCCAGCAAUGCCGCGUGGGUGAAGAAGGCCUUCGGGUUGUAAAGCCCUUUCAGCGGGGAAGAAAGCGGGCAGGCGAAUAGUCUGGCUGGUUGACGGUACCCGCAGAAGAAGCACCGGCUAACUACGUG